Molecule: unclassified non-coding RNA, 4025 nt
Filed under: Dermacentor andersoni
Lineage: Eukaryota; Metazoa; Arthropoda; Arachnida; Ixodida; Ixodidae
Description: structural maintenance of chromosomes protein 3- like
Source: RNAcentral
GUGAUGGUUUCAAUCAUUACAUCUGUUUCCCGCCAUUUUGAACUGCGAGGUGUUUGGCGGGACUGUUGGCAUAAUCAAAGGCGCAAAGUGGCAUAUUUACAUGGAUUUGUGUCACAAUUCUGUAGCAGUAUACAUCUGAAAUGCAUAUAAAACAGCUUAUAAUACAAGGUUUCCGGAGCUACAAAGAGCAAACCUGUGUGGAGCCAUUCAGCCCCCGUCAUAAUGUGAUAGUUGGCCGAAAUGGAUCAGGAAAAAGCAAUUUCUUUUACGCCAUCCAAUUCGUGCUGAGCGAUGAGUUCUCCCAUCUGCGCCCCGAGCAGCGGCAAGCACUCCUGCAUGAGGGAACUGGACCACGUGUGCUCAAUGCCUUUGUUGAAAUCAUCUUCGACAACAGUGACAACCGCCUGCCAGUUGACAAGGAAGAGGUGUCACUAAGGCGUGUGAUUGGCUCCAAGAAAGACCAGUAUUUCCUGAACAAGAAGAUGGUUACAAGGACGGAUGUCAUGAACCUUUUGGAGAGCGCCGGUUUCUCGAGGAGCAAUCCCUACUACAUAGUAAAGCAGGGCAAGAUCAACCAGAUGGCCACAGCGCCAGAUUCACAACGGCUGAAGCUGCUGCGAGAGGUGGCAGGCACACGGGUGUACGAUGAGCGGCGCGAAGAGAGUAAGGUGCUGCUGCGUGACACUGAGGGCAAGCGCUCCAAGAUUGAGGAUCUGCUCAAGUACAUUGAGGAUCGGCUGCAGACGCUUGAGGAGGAGAAGGAGGAGCUCAAGGAGUACCAGAAAUGGGACAAGAUGCGCAGGUCUCUGGAGUACACCAUUUAUGACCAUGAACUGAAGGAUACCAAAAAGAAGCUGGAAGAACUGGAAACACGGCGAGAGUCCAGCAGUUCAGUGGCUGAGAAAUUGCGUGAGAACCUGCAGAAUGCGGCCGAAAAAAUAAAGAAGCUGAGCAAGGAGCUGCGCGAGGUGAAGAGUCGUGCGCAGGCCCAGCGGGAGGAGCGGGAGGCCCUGUCGCAGGAGCAGUCAUCGGCACUCAAGGAGAAGACCCGCCUUGAGCUGACCAUAAAGGACCUGCGUGAUGAGGUUGAGGGGGACGACUCAUCACGCAAGCGUGCUGAGCGGGAGCUAGCCCGCCUACAGGAGACAGUGGCCCAGAAGAUGGCCCUGCUGGACGGCAUUCGUCCCCAGUACGAGGCACAGAAAAAGCGUGAGGAGGAAUGCACUCGCGAGCUGAGCCUGAAGGAACAGAAGCGCACCGAGCUGUAUGCCAAGCAAGGCCGUGGCAGCCAGUUUACAUCCAAGGCUGAACGGGACAAGUGGAUCCAGAAGGAACUCAAGUCUCUGCAGAAAGCCAUUCGGGACAAGCGGGACCAGAUAGACAAGCUCCAAGAGGACACACAACGAGAUGCAAAAAACAAGGUGGUCUUGGAAAGGAAAAUUGAAGAGCUUACCCGAGAGCUGGAAAAUCAUCGUGUGAGCAUCGACAGUCAAAACAAAAGUUUCUAUGAGAUGAAAAAACGGAAAGACACGCUUCAAGGCGAGAGAAAUGAACUCUGGAGACAUGAGAAUGCCUUGCAGCAGAACCUGGCAACGCUGAAAGAGGAGCUGUCCAAAAAGGACCAGGGCCUGCGUUCGAUGACUGGCAAGGCAACCUUGAAUGGCCGAGACAGUGUACGAAAAGUUCUGCAAACUUUUCGGGAGAAAGGUGGCAGUUAUGAGCACAUAGCCAACAGCUACUAUGGAAUGCUAAUCGAAAACUUUGAUUGUGAGAAGACCAUCUAUACUGCCGUGGAAGUGACUUCUGGAAACAAGUUGUUUUACCACAUAGUGGAGAGUGAUCGCAUCGGCACAAAGAUACUGCAGGAGAUGAAUCGUCAGCAGCUGCCAGGCGAAGUCACCUUCAUGCCUCUGAACCGGCUCAUGUACAAGGAUGUUGACUACCCGAAUAGCAAUGAUGCCAUUCCUAUGAUCAGCAAACUCAACUUUGACCCAAAGUUUGAGAGUGCUAUGAAAUACAUAUAUGGCAAGACUCUAAUAUGCCGCAACCUGGAAGUGGCCACUCAAAUUGCACGCACAUCAAACCUGGAUUGCAUCACUUUGGACGGGGACCAAGUGUCGCACAAGGGUGCCCUAACGGGAGGCUACUUUGACACUCGACGGUCACGGCUGGAUCUGCACAAGGCACACAUGCAGCUCAUGAAGGAGAUUACUGAAGUGGAGAAGCAGCUUGCGGAGCACAAGCAGAAACUGGCUGAUACUGAAAGCCAGAUCAACCAAGUGGUCAGUGACAUGCAGAAAGCUGAGACAAAGAACAGCAAAAACAAGGAUGUGUUUGACAAACUGAAGGCAGACAUUCGUCUCAUGAAAGAAGAACUCACAGCUCUGGAACGCUCUAAACAGCCAAAGGAGCGCAGCCUGGCUAGCCUCGACUCGAGCCUGAAGUCAAUGGAGUCAACCGAGCAGUCCCUGCGUUCAGAGCUGCAGCAAGACCUCCUGACACAGCUUUCAGUUGCUGACCAGCAGGAGGUAGACCGGCUCAACGAUGAAAUUCGCCGUCUCACCCAGGAAAACAAGGAGGCCUUCAGUGAGCGCAUGCGGCUUGAGGCAGAGAAAAACAAGCUGGAGAACCUGCUCAACAACAAUUUAUAUCGGAGGAAAGAAGAAUUGGAAGCCGCAUUGCAGGAAAUUUCAGUCGAAGACAGGCGGCGCAAACUGGAGAACAGCCAAGCAGAGUUGGCCAGUGUGAAUGCACGCAUCAGUGAUGUCAACACUAACUUAAAAGCACUGGAAAAGCAGGUUGAAGCAAAUACCAAGGAACAGAAGGACCUCCAGUCACAGCUAGAGCACUGGAAGAGCCAAGAGCGUGACUGGCAAGAGCGGAUCAAUGAUGAUGCCAAAGACCUUGAGAAAAUGACGAGCCGCCAGUCUGUUCUGUUGAAGAAGAAAGAAGAGUGCAUGCGUAAGAUUCGAGAACUCGGUUCAUUGCCUGCAGAUGCAUUUGAGAAGUAUCAGAAUCUAAGCCUAAAACAGUUGUUCAAGAAGCUUGAGCAAUGUAAUCAUGAGCUCAAGAAAUACAGCCACGUCAACAAGAAAGCCUUGGACCAGUUCAUCAAUUUUUCGGACCAGAAGGAAAAGCUGGCAAAGCGCAAGGAAGAGCUUGACCGUGGACACAGUUCCAUCCAGGAGCUGAUGAACGCUCUGGAGAUGCGCAAGUAUGAAGCCAUCCAGCUGACGUUCAAGCAAGUGUCCAAGUUCUUCAGUGAAGUGUUUAAGAAGCUUGUACCCCAAGGACAUGCCACACUCAUGAUGAAGACUGACAAUGAGGAUGGCACUGCUCAGAUCAAAACUCAACAUGACAUACGUGGUUGACGGAUCAUCUCCUGCCGGAACAGUGCACGGUCGCUUCUUCUAUCCCUGUAAAUGGCUCAGCUGCAAGCAGAGACAGCAACAUGAAUUAUGAAAGUGCUGAGGGAGAGGAAGUCACUGCUGCAUCUAAUGAGCCCGGGAGCGAUAGCCAGACAAAGGUGCUCCUAGGUUACCUUGCAAGGUACACACCCCAAGUCUGGCCCCUGAAGCACUUCAAGACAAAGAAAUUCAUGUACGAGCAAAUUGUUCAAGAUAUCUUCCAAGUGUUAAAUAUACAGCACAUUGGAGUGCAGUGUGAGACUACAUUGUUGACUGUGGCAAAAAGAAAGAGGAACGAUGACAAAAACAGCAAAAUAUCUGGCAGUGUGUGUUUCUCACUUCCUAUUGCCAACAGCUUCAAGUCAGAGGUGCUUAGAGGUGUGUCAAAAGUGACUUGCAAGAACUGUGCUGCACCCUUUGGCACACCUUCAUUCACUGGAAGAGAAAGCAUCUAUGUGACAGCCACCCAAGCCACAACAAGGGAGUCAACUGAGGGUCCACAGGAGCAUUCAUGGGAAAUGGAGGGCAAUGCAUCCUUCAUGAGGCCCCAGGAGGAAGAAAUGUGCAGAACACUGAUCGUAGGAGGCACACAACUAUCAUUGUUUAAAACGUGCGGAC